RNAcentral lists this ribosomal RNA (253 nucleotides) under uncultured bacterium. RNAcentral describes it as "partial 16S ribosomal RNA". It matches the Rfam family "Bacterial small subunit ribosomal RNA", at positions 524 to 776 of the family's 1533-position model. The record is from RNAcentral.
UACGUAGGGGGCAAGCGUUGUCCGGAUUUAUUGGGCGUAAAGAGCGUGUAGGCGGUCAUGUAGGUCCGUUGUGAAAACUCGAGGCUCAACCUCGAGACGCCGAUGGAAACCAUGUGACUAGAGUCCGGAAGAGGAGAGUGGAAUUCCUGGUGUAGCGGUGAAAUGCGCAGAUAUCAGGAAGAACACCCGUGGCUAAGGCGGCUCUCUAGUACGGUACUGACGCUGAGACGCGAAAGCGUGGGGAGCGAACAGG